This 320-nucleotide ribosomal RNA is filed under the name uncultured Psychrilyobacter sp. RNAcentral describes it as "bacterial SSU rRNA". It matches the Rfam family "Bacterial small subunit ribosomal RNA", at positions 51 to 371 of the family's 1533-position model. The record is from RNAcentral. Lineage: Bacteria; Fusobacteriati; Fusobacteriota; Fusobacteriia; Fusobacteriales; Fusobacteriaceae.
ACACAUGCAAGUCGACUGGAAUUCUUCUUCGGAAGAUAGUACGGUGGCGGACGGGUGAGUAACGCGUAAAGAAUUUGCCCUUCAGACUGGGACAACUAAUCGAAAGGUUAGCUAAUACCGGAUAUUAUGAGACCUUGGCAUCAAGGACUUAUGAAAGCUAUAUGCGCUGAAGGAGAACUUUGCGUUCCAUUAGGUAGUUGGUAGGGUAAUGGCCUACCAAGCCGACGAUGGAUAGCCGGCCUGAGAGGGUGAACGGCCACAAGGGGACUGAGACACGGCCCUUACUCCUACGGGAGGCAGCAGUGGGGAAUAUUGGACAA